GAUGAACGCUGGCGGCGUGCUUAACACAUGCAAGUCGAACGGGAAACCUUUUAAUGAAGCUUCGGCAGAUUUAGCUGGCUUCUAGUUGCGGACUGGUGAGUAACCCGUGGGUAACCUGCCUUAUACUGGGGGAUAACAGUCAGAAAUGACUGCUAAUACCGCAUAAGCGCACAGGACCGCAUGGUCCGGUGUGAAAAACUCCGGUGGGAUAAGAUGGACCCGCGUUGGAUUAGCUUGUUGGUGGGGUAACGGCUCACCAAGGCGACGAUGCAUAGCCGGCAUGAGAGGGUGAACGGCCACAUUGGGACUGAGACACGGCCCAGACUCCUACGGGAGGCAGGAGUGGGGAAUAUUGCACAAUGGGGGAAAACCUGAUGGAGCGACGCCGCGUGAAGGAAGAAGUAGCUGGGUAUGUAAACUUCUAUAAGAAGGGAAGAUAGUGACGGUACCUGACUAAGAAGCACCGGCUAACUACGUG
RNAcentral lists this ribosomal RNA (478 nucleotides) under uncultured bacterium. RNAcentral describes it as "partial 16S ribosomal RNA". It matches the Rfam family "Bacterial small subunit ribosomal RNA", at positions 28 to 507 of the family's 1533-position model. The record is from RNAcentral.